This 80-nucleotide transfer RNA is filed under the name Enterobacter cloacae. Its description in RNAcentral is "tRNA-OTHER". The record is from RNAcentral. Lineage: Bacteria; Pseudomonadati; Pseudomonadota; Gammaproteobacteria; Enterobacterales; Enterobacteriaceae.
GUUGCCCCCCAAGCGGUCAGGCAGCAAAAAAGUGUGUAUACGGCAACGUAUCGGGGGUUCGAAUCCCCCCCUCACCGCCA